This 508-nucleotide ribosomal RNA is filed under the name uncultured bacterium. RNAcentral describes it as "partial 16S ribosomal RNA". It matches the Rfam family "Bacterial small subunit ribosomal RNA", at positions 28 to 507 of the family's 1533-position model. The record is from RNAcentral.
GACGAACGCUGGCGGCGUGCCUAAUACAUGCAAGUCGAACGCUUCUUUCCUCCCGAGUGCUUGCACUCAAUUGGAAAGAGGAGUGGCGGACGGGUGAGUAACACGUGUGUAACCUACCCAUCAGAGGGGGAUAACACUUGGAAACAGGUGCUAAUACCGCAUAACAGUUUAUGCCGCAUGGCAUAAGAGUGAAAGGCGCUUUCGGGUGUCGUUGAUGGAUGGACCCGCGGUGCAUUAGCUAGUUGGUGAGGUAACGGCUCACCAAGGCCACGAUGCAUAGCCGACCUGAGAGGGUGAUCGGCCACACUGGGACUGAGACACGGCCCAGACUCCUACGGGAGGCAGCAGUAGGGAAUCUUCGGCAAUGGACGAAAGUCUGACCGAGCAACGCCGCGUGAGUGAAGAAGGUUUUCGGAUCGUAAAACUCUGUUGUUAGGGAAGAACAAGGACGUUAGUAACUGAACGUCCCCUGACGGUAUCUAACCAGAAAGCCACGGCUAACUACGUG